Molecule: small RNA, 727 nt
Filed under: Pongo abelii (Sumatran orangutan)
Lineage: Eukaryota; Metazoa; Chordata; Mammalia; Primates; Hominidae
Description: processed transcript
Source: RNAcentral
CUGAUUUCUUAGACCCAUAUAGAAGAAAUAAAGUAGAUGUUUAGGCCGGGCAUAGUGGCUCUCCCCUGUAAUCCCAGCACUUUGGGAGGCCAAGGUAGGUGGAUCACCUGAGCUCAGGAGUUUAAGGCCAACCUGGGCAACAUGGCAAAACGCCGUCUCUACUAAAAAUACAAAAAAUUAGCCAGGCAUGGUGGUGCAUGUCUGUAACCCCAACUACUCGGAAGGCUGAGGCAGGAGACUCACUUGAACCCGAGAGGCAGAGGUGGCAGUGAGCCGAGAUAAUGCCACAGCACUCCAGCCUGGGCGACAGAGCGAGACCUGUCUCAAAAAAAUAAAGUAGAUGUUUAUGUUCAUGUGUUUCUUUCCACAGGCUUUGGAUGAAGAGUAUUUAAAAGUAGAUGCCCAAUUUGGAGGCGUUGAUCAGAGAAAGAUUUUUACCUUUGCAGAGAAGAUGAGAACACUGAGGAUAGAAGAUAAGAAGUUGUCCAAUAUCACACAUACCUCCCUGCACUUGGCUAUUCAAAACGGGUCCAUCUGAUGAAUCCUAUGGUUCCAGGAUUAACAGGCAGCAAAAUGAGCUCUUCAGAAGAGGAGUCCAAGAUUGAUCUCCUUGAUCGGAAGGAGGAUGUGAAGAAAAAACUGAAGAAGGCCUUCUGUGAGCCAGGAAAUGUGGAGAACAAUGGGGUUCUGUCCUUCAUCAAGCAUGUCCUUUUUCCUCUGAAGUCCG